Non-coding RNA from Paramisgurnus dabryanus, 1888 nucleotides. The record is from RefSeq and is a predicted model, not a curated record. Lineage: Eukaryota; Metazoa; Chordata; Actinopteri; Cypriniformes; Cobitidae.
UACCAAGAGUGCUAAUAUUAGUGAAGUACACUAUGUGAAGGGAACAGUAUUCAUUGAUUUCAGCCCUCUAGCAACAAGAGACAGAACUUUUUACAAUUAAAACAAUUACAUAUUAUAAACUACUGAAACUUAAUCCUAUGUUCCAUACAAAACAUACAAUUAAUGGAUAGGUGAUUCAGAGGGUUGCCACAGAGAUCACAGAUCUUACAAUCCUCCUUACAGCUUAAAAAGCCUGGGAUCUGCAGCAACUAUCAUUGUGUGAGUUACCAAAAAGACGUAAGGACUGGACAUGUAAGAUCUGUAGUAAAAUUUUAUACUAUUUAAUUCAACUGGACUACAACCUAGAAACACUGCACUUAAGGUAACUUAUUUACAUUUAAUUGAAUAUUGUUUUUUAAUAACAACUCUUACCAAAUAGUUUGAUUGGAAUGGAUUCAUUUAUCGAUUAUUAAUUGAUUGAUAUCUUUUUUAUAAUAAAACAUACAUGUUUUGACUGAAAUAUUUGGCUUGGUUAGUCUGGUGAUAGACUGGAACAUAAAACUUAUUUGGAAUGUUUAUACUUUGUAUACUGGACAUUGUAUACUGUAGUUAGUAUAGUUGUCUGUUAGUUCAACCAACAUAGUAAAAUGAAGUGACAAUGCUAGAACAGCUAGUAGUUAUGUCUGGGAAGAGACAGGAUAAAGUUUCUGAAUUAUAUUCCUACUAAACAAAACAUUUGAGUGGUGCUUUCAUGUCAAGAAAACCAAUGCAAUUAAAAUACAUAAUUCUGACAGGACUUUAAGUGAAACUUUUACCCAUUCAUCUAUUUUCUGAGAACAGAUGGAAUAUUUGAGACCUUUCUUAACCCUUCUUCUGGUCUUCAAUGGAAUUUACACCUCAACUUCUCAAAGCUCCUCAACUACUCAAAGCUCCUCAACUGCCCAAAGCACCACAACUGCUCUAAGCACCACAACUGCUAUAAGCACCACAACUGCUCCAAGGACAAUUUUAACAUCACUAGGAAGAUCCACGCUCUCAGUUACAACCACUACAACCACCACAACAGCAUCUGCACCAAAAGCACCUACUGGUUCAACCAUACAGGCAACACAGGGAGGAACCACACUGAUGGCUACAGGGUCAACAAUGGCUACAACGUCAUCAACCUCCAUCAUCACCGGGUCAACCAUACAGUCAAUACUCGGUGUUUUUAUCUGGAUGAUGUGGCUCCUUCAGUAAAGCACUUAGGAGAAAGUGGAGGAAAAGCAGCACACAGCAAUCAAUUUAAGAGUAAUUUUGCUGCCUUAAAUAUUAAGUUUAGAGUUAUUAUCGUUGAUCUUUAAUGUUCGGCUAUGUUAUCUAUUUAUGCUUGAUAUUUCUCAAUAUUUGUUCUUGUCACAUUUGUGAAGUAUUAGGAAUAUAUUAGCAAAUACAAUAAUUUUCUCCAAAUAUGUUUUGACACAGAUUCAUUACAUAUAAAACAUUCCGAAAGUAAUAUAUUCAAAUAAAAUCUAUAAAAAAUUUCAGAACUAUUAAAAGAAAUUGAUAGAAUGUUUCAGUGUUCAUCCAAACACCAUAAGAAAUGUAUCACCACGAUAAUUGUAUAUCCGUAAAUGAGAAACUUAGAGCAAGCAUUAUACAACAUCUUUGCUUAAAUGACACCAUAAGUUCUACAUUUCUUUCAAAUAUGUCAACUAUUUUAAAUCUGUGGUUUCAAUAAACCAUAAAUGUCACAUUUUUUCUUAGCUUUAUUGAGAAUUAUAAAGAAUAUUUUAAUUAAUCAAGUUUCAAACACAUAAAGACUAAUCUCUUAAGAUGCCUUUUUUGUGUAUGUUGUACUAUUUGUACUUUUACUGAUUGGUAUUAACCACAUUCAUGUAUAUGUUUGUAUAAACCUAUUUUUCCUACC